This 501-nucleotide ribosomal RNA is filed under the name uncultured bacterium. RNAcentral's name for it is "bacterial SSU rRNA". It matches the Rfam family "Bacterial small subunit ribosomal RNA", at positions 28 to 505 of the family's 1533-position model. The record is from RNAcentral.
GAUGAACGCUAGCGACAGGCCUAACACAUGCAAGUCGAGGGGCAACGGGGCGUAGCAAUACGCUGCCGGCGACCGGCGGAUGGGUGAGUAACGCGUAUGCAACCUGCCUUCAGCAGGGGGAUAGCCCGUUGAAAGACGGAUUAAUACCCCAUAACACAGGGGCUCCGCAUGGAGAUUAUUGUUAAAGGGAUGCUUCCUUCGGGGGUAUUCCGGCUGAAGAUGGGCAUGCGUUCCAUUAGGUAGUUGGUUGAGGUAACGGCUCACCAAGCCUGCGAUGGAUAGGGGAACUGAGAGGUUGGUCCCCCACACUGGUACUGAGACACGGACCAGACUCCUACGGGAGGCAGCAGUGAGGAAUCUUGGUCAAUGGACGGAAGUCUGAACCAGCCAUGUCGCGUGAAGGAGGACGGCCCUAAGGGUUUAAACUUCUUUGCAGCGGAAUAAGUAUUCCACGUGAUGGGAUAUUGCAAGUACGCUGCGAAUAAGGAUCGGCUAACUCCG